RNAcentral lists this ribosomal RNA (253 nucleotides) under uncultured bacterium. RNAcentral's name for it is "partial 16S ribosomal RNA". It matches the Rfam family "Bacterial small subunit ribosomal RNA", at positions 524 to 776 of the family's 1533-position model. The record is from RNAcentral.
UACGUAGGCAGCGAGCGUUGUUCGGAAUUACUGGGCGUAAAGAGUGUGUAGGCGGUGCGGUAAGUCACCUGUGAAAUCUCCUGGCUCAACUGGGAGCUUGCAGGCGAAACUGCCGUGCUGGAGUGUGGGAGAGGUGCGUGGAAUUCCUGGUGUAGCGGUGAAAUGCGUAGAUAUCAGGAAGAACACCCGUGGCUAAGGCGGCUCUCUAGUACGGUACUGACGCUGAGACGCGAAAGCGUGGGGAGCGAACAGG